AGCCAGACUCCUACGGGAGGCAGCAGUGGGGAAUAUUGCACAAUGGGGGAAACCCUGAUGCAGCGACGCCGCGUGAGCGAUGAAGUAUUUCGGUAUGUAAAGCUCUAUCAGCAGGGAAGAAAAUGACGGUACCUGACUAAGAAGCCCCGGCUAACUACGUGCCAGCAGCCGCGGUAAUACGUAGGGGGCAAGCGUUAUCCGGAUUUACUGGGUGUAAAGGGAGCGUAGACGGCUGUGCAAGCCAGAUGUGAAAGCCCGGGGCUCAACCCCGGGACUGCAUUUGGAACUGUGUGGCUGGAGUGUCGGAGAGGCAGGCGGAAUUCCUAGUGUAGCGGUGAAAUGCGUAGAUAUUAGGAGGAACACCAGUGGCGAAGGCGGCCUGCUGGACGAUGACUGACGUUGAGGCUCGAAAGCGUGGGGAGCAAACAGGAUUAGAUACCCUAGUAG
RNAcentral lists this ribosomal RNA (447 nucleotides) under uncultured bacterium. Its description in RNAcentral is "partial 16S ribosomal RNA". It matches the Rfam family "Bacterial small subunit ribosomal RNA", at positions 329 to 793 of the family's 1533-position model. The record is from RNAcentral.